GAGUUUGAUCGUGGCUCAGGACGAACGCUGGCGGCGCGCUUAACACAUGCAAGUCGAACGAAGUAUGUUGGAUUGAUCCUUCGGGUGAUUGAUAGCAGACUUAGUGGCGGACGGGUGAGUAACACGUGAGCAACCUGCCUUACAGAGGGGGAUAACGUCUGGAAACGGACGCUAAUACCGCAUAACAUUGAAUUGGGGCAUCCCGAUUGAAUCAAAGGAGCAAUCCGCUGUAAGAUGGGCUCGCGACCGAUUAGCCAGUUGGCGGGGUAACGGCCCACCAAAGCGACGAUCGGUAGCCGGACUGAGAGGUUGGACGGCCACAUUGGGACUGAGACACGGCCCAGACUCCUACGGGAGGCAGCAGUGGGGAAUAUUGCACAAUGGGGGAAACCCUGAUGCAGCGACGCCGCGUGAGGGAAG
Molecule: ribosomal RNA, 420 nt
Filed under: uncultured bacterium
Lineage: Bacteria
Description: bacterial SSU rRNA
Rfam family: Bacterial small subunit ribosomal RNA
Source: RNAcentral